GAUGAACGCUAGCGGGAGGCCUAACACAUGCAAGCCGAGCGGUAUUGUUUCUUCGGAAAUGAGAGAGCGGCGUACGGGUGCGGAACACGUGUGCAACCUGCCUUUAUCUGGGGGAUAGCCUUUCGAAAGGAAGAUUAAUACUCCAUAAUAUAUUGAACGGCAUCGUUUAAUAUUGAAAGCUCCGGCGGAUAGAGAUGGGCACGCGCAAGAUUAGCUAGUUGGUGAGGUAACGGCUCACCAAGGCGAUGAUCUUUAGGGGGCCUGAGAGGGUGAUCCC
This 277-nucleotide ribosomal RNA is filed under the name uncultured bacterium. RNAcentral's name for it is "partial 16S ribosomal RNA". It matches the Rfam family "Bacterial small subunit ribosomal RNA", at positions 28 to 307 of the family's 1533-position model. The record is from RNAcentral.